AACGAACGCUGGCGGCAUGCCUAACACAUGCAAGUCGAACGAAACCUUCGGGUCUAGUGGCGCACGGGUGCGUAACGCGUGGGAACCUGCCCUUAGGUUCGGAAUAACUCCCCGACAGGGGUGCUAAUACCGGAUAAUGUCUUCGGACCAAAGAUUUAUCGCCGUUGGAUGGGCCCGCGUUGGAUUAGCUAGUUGGUAGGGUAAAAGCCUACCAAGGCGACGAUCCAUAGCUGGUCUGAGAGGAUGAUCAGCCACACUGGGACUGAGACACGGCCCAGACUCCUACGGGAGGCAGCAGUGGGGAAUAUUGGACAAUGGGCGAAAGCCUGAUCCAGCAAUGCCGCGUGAGUGAUGAAGGCCUUAGGGUUGUAAAGCUCUUUUACCCGGGAUGAUAAUGACAGUACCGGGAGAAUAAGCUCCGGCUAACUCCGUG
RNAcentral lists this ribosomal RNA (433 nucleotides) under uncultured bacterium. RNAcentral's name for it is "partial 16S ribosomal RNA". It matches the Rfam family "Bacterial small subunit ribosomal RNA", at positions 29 to 507 of the family's 1533-position model. The record is from RNAcentral.